CAGUUCGGACUGUAGGCUGCAACUCGCCUACACGAAGUUGGAAUUGCUAGUAAUCGUGGAUCAGCAUGCCACGGUGAAUACGUUCCCGGGUCUUGUACACACCGCCCGUCACACCAUGGGAGCUGGUAACACCCGAAGUCAGUAGUCUAACCGCAAGGAGGACGCUGCCGAAGGUGGGAUUAGCGACUGGAGUGAAGUCGUAACAAGGUAUC
This 212-nucleotide ribosomal RNA is filed under the name uncultured bacterium. Its description in RNAcentral is "partial 16S ribosomal RNA". It matches the Rfam family "Bacterial small subunit ribosomal RNA", at positions 1289 to 1500 of the family's 1533-position model. The record is from RNAcentral.